This 875-nucleotide long non-coding RNA is filed under the name Pan troglodytes (chimpanzee). Its description in RNAcentral is "lincRNA". The record is from RNAcentral. Lineage: Eukaryota; Metazoa; Chordata; Mammalia; Primates; Hominidae.
GCACUUCUUGCUGCCAACAUGUGAAGAAAGACGUGUUUGCUUCCCCUUCCACCAUGAUUGUAAAAUCAACAAGGAAGGUGAUGAGCACAGCAGUGUGAAGUUCCUGGCAACCAUCAUUCUCCUUUUUGUCUCCAUGAUUUUGAAUACUCUAAGUACCUCAAAUUAUAGCCAUCCUAAUGGGUGUCAUUUUCAUGCGCGUCCAUGUGAAGAGACCACCAAACAGGCUUUGUGUGAGCAACAAGGCUGUUUAUUUCACCUGGGUGCAGAGGUGGGAAGGCCAAACCGAAGAAUUAUGUCUGACAGAAGGGAAGAAAUGACCGCGGUGACCUUCUCAGACCCUGUGGGAAAGACCUCUACCUAUCCAGUGAAAGUGUCUACCCAGACUAAGAGGGGGCUUCCGAGGCGAUUGGGCAGGAUCAGUCUUCAGCCACUAAGCCGAGAAGAUCUGGGAAGGAGUCAGAGAGCCUUGGGCCACAGUUCCAGGGGCUCUGAGAGUGGCUGCCAGCCUACUCACUGUGAAGACAAUGAGGGUGAAAACCUUCAUGAUGAUCCACUUCCACUUCAUGAACAGGAAAUAUGUUUUUUCUCUUCCUUAUGAUUUUUAAAAAACAUUUUCUUUUCUCUUGCAUGCUUGAUUGUAAGAGUGCAGUACAUAUUAUAUAUAUAUAUACAUAAAAAUAUACAAAAUAUGUGUUAAUCAGCUAUGUGUUAGCCAACUAUGUUAUUAAUGUAAGACUUUUUAUGAUUUUCUAUAUAACAUUUUCUUUUUUCUAGCUUACUUUAUUAUAGGAAUACAGUAUACAGUACAUACAACAUGCAAAAUCAGUGUUAAUCAACAGUUUAUGUUAUUGGCAAGGCUUCAGGUCAAUAGUAGG